CCGGUUCCCCAAUCCCGCCCCACACGCCCACACGCACGCAGAAGAAUCACCGGCAAAUAUUCCGUUCUUAUCUCUCCCCUCUUCGCCGCUCCCGUGAGGCCGUGACGGCGGCGGCGCGCGCUGGUCCGGCGGAGUCCAUUACGGCAUGACUCCCUUCCCAAUCCAACAAGAUACGGUUUCCAUGGAGACCUGAUUUAUCUCGACGCGGUACAGCCAGUCUACUUCCAUCCGUGGGGGCGGCGGCGGCGGCCCGGCAGCGACACUAUUUCCCUCUCGCGACGGUAGCACGAUUCCAAACCGGCGAUCUCAUCCGGAGCAGCCACAAGGAAAAGGGUCCUCAUCGGAUUGGGUCGGAGCUCUUCUUCUAUGUGCCUUACAACCCAAUAAACACCGAUCAAUAAGCUUCCAACCAGAUUUGAGGAAAAAGAUGGAUUGAUAUACAUGUCUUGCAAUACAACUAAUCAAUGUGACAUGGUAUACCAUAGUUUGUGUAUCCUACUCUUAUUUUCCAUUGUGUUACAUCAUGCAGUCCCUCGG
This is a long non-coding RNA of Panicum hallii, 537 nucleotides long. RefSeq lists it as uncharacterized. Lineage: Eukaryota; Viridiplantae; Streptophyta; Magnoliopsida; Poales; Poaceae. The record is from RefSeq and is a predicted model, not a curated record. The transcript is spliced from 3 exons.